CAGCCGUAAACGAUGCAGACUUGGUGUUGGAAGUCCUUUGGGGGCAUUCAGUGCCGGAGAGAAGUUGUUAAGUCUGCUACUUGGGGAGUACGUCCGCAAGGAUGAAACUUAAAGGAAUUGGCGGGGGAGCACCGCAACGGGAGGAGCGUGCGGUUUAAUUGGAUUCAACACCGUAAAACUCACCAGGGAAGACUGUUACAUGAAAGCCGAGAUGAAGACUCUGCUAGAUUUUCAGAGAGGAGGUGCAUGGCGUCAGUGACU
This 261-nucleotide ribosomal RNA is filed under the name uncultured archaeon. RNAcentral describes it as "partial 16S ribosomal RNA". It matches the Rfam family "Archaeal small subunit ribosomal RNA", at positions 748 to 1008 of the family's 1478-position model. The record is from RNAcentral.